This 519-nucleotide unclassified non-coding RNA is filed under the name uncultured Diversispora. RNAcentral describes it as "SSU rRNA". It matches the Rfam family "Eukaryotic small subunit ribosomal RNA", at positions 569 to 1087 of the family's 1831-position model. Lineage: Eukaryota; Fungi; Glomeromycota; Glomeromycetes; Diversisporales; Diversisporaceae. The record is from RNAcentral.
AGCAGCCGCGGUAAUUCCAGCUCCAAUAGCGUAUAUUAAAGUUGUUGCAGUUAAAAAGCUCGUAGUUGAACUUCGGGGUUUACUCAUUGGUCAGGCUUAAUUGUCUGUACUGGUGAGAUGAAUCUCUACCUUCUGAGGAACUUUCAUGCCAUUUAUUUGGUGUGAUUGGAAAUCAGGACUGUUACUUUGAAAAAUUGAGUGUUUAAAGCAGGCUAACGUCUGAAUACAUUAGCAUGGAAUAAUGAAAUAGGACGGAUUGAUUCUAUUUCGUUGGUUUCUAGGGUCACCGUAAUGAUUAAUAGGGAUAGUUGGGGGCAUUAGUAUUCAAUUGUCAGAGGUGAAAUUCUUGGAUUUAUUGAAGACUAACUACUGCGAAAGCAUUUGCCAAGGAUGUUUUCAUUAAUCAAGAACGAAAGUUAGGGGAUCGAAGACGAUCAGAUACCGUCGUAGUCUUAACCAUAAACUAUGCCGACUAGGGAUCGGACGAAGUUAAUUAAUAAUGACGACGUUCGGCUAACC